RNAcentral lists this ribosomal RNA (520 nucleotides) under uncultured bacterium. RNAcentral describes it as "bacterial SSU rRNA". It matches the Rfam family "Bacterial small subunit ribosomal RNA", at positions 779 to 1297 of the family's 1533-position model. The record is from RNAcentral.
AAUAGACCCCGGUAGUCCACGCCGUAAACGAUGAGUGCUAAGUGUUAGAGGGUUUCCGCCCUUUAGUGCUGCAGCUAACGCAUUAAGCACUCCGCCUGGGGAGUACGGUCGCAAGACUGAAACUCAAAGGAAUUGACGGGGGCCCGCACAAGCGGUGGAGCAUGUGGUUUAAUUCGAAGCAACGCGAAGAACCUUACCAGGUCUUGACAUCCUCUGACAACUCUAGAGAUAGAGCGUUCCCCUUCGGGGGACAGAGUGACAGGUGGUGCAUGGUUGUCGUCAGCUCGUGUCGUGAGAUGUUGGGUUAAGUCCCGCAACGAGCGCAACCCUUGAUCUUAGUUGCCAGCAUUUAGUUGGGCACUCUAAGGUGACUGCCGGUGACAAACCGGAGGAAGGUGGGGAUGACGUCAAAUCAUCAUGCCCCUUAUGACCUGGGCUACACACGUGCUACAAUGGAUGGUACAAAGGGCUGCAAGACCGCGAGGUCAAGCCAAUCCCAUAAAACCAUUCUCAGUUCGGA